AUCACAGAAAUGCUAAAUGAAGGCAGUAGUUCUUAAAGAAGCCCACACCUGUGUCCGUUUACUACAAAGUAUAACUUUCCAGAUGAAGAAAUUACCCACUUCUAUGGUGAUUCUUCUUGGCCAUGGCAUUCAAGGGAAUUAUGUGAAGAGUCAUCAAUGGCAAUGAUCGAAUGUGGUUCGUAACACUUUCACAUCAGGUAAGGAGAAAGAAUUGCAUGAAUAGUCAUUGGUGACUGAGAUCGAAUGCAGUGC
Molecule: long non-coding RNA, 252 nt
Organism: Danio aesculapii
Lineage: Eukaryota; Metazoa; Chordata; Actinopteri; Cypriniformes; Danionidae
Exons: 3
Source: RefSeq, a predicted model, not a curated record